AAAGGGAGACCUAAUUCAGGUAAAAGACGAAAAAAAAGUAGUCGCUACCAAGAAUCAAUCCCAAAAGGUCGGAGCGAGGCGAAAUUGGCUUUCAAACUAGGUUCUGGGUUCAAACAAGACCUGAAUCAGGAACAAGGGCUAUUAGCUAAGGUGGUUAGAGCGCACCCCUGAUAAGGGUGAGGUCCCUGGUUCGAGUCCAGGAUGGCCCACCUGCACAGGUGGCAAAAACAAGAGAAGCGAGGAAUCAGCACCUUAUCUUACUUAUAUAGUAAGAGAGAAUGCUGGCUCUGAGUAAAGAGUCCAGAGGAACCUUGAAAACUGCAUAGAGCUAGGUGAAAAAGCCAAAAAAGAAGACCGCAAG
RNAcentral lists this transfer RNA (361 nucleotides) under uncultured Microcystis sp. RNAcentral describes it as "partial 16S-23S ribosomal RNA intergenic spacer". The stretch from base 136 to 209 matches the Rfam family "tRNA". The record is from RNAcentral. Lineage: Bacteria; Bacillati; Cyanobacteriota; Cyanophyceae; Chroococcales; Microcystaceae.